AACGAUUAAGCACCUUCGGGUGUGUAUAAAGUGGCGAACGGCUGAGUAACACGUGGGCAACCUGCCCCUCUCAUUGGGAUAGCCACGGGAAACCGUGGAUAAUACCGAAUACUUCGAGACUUCCGCAUGGAAGACUCGAGAAAGCUCCGGCGGAGAGGGAUGGGCCCGCGGCCUGUUAGCUUGUUGGUGGGGUAACGGCCUACCAAGGCAAUGAUGGGUAGCUGGGUUGAGAGACCGACCAGCCAGAUUGGGACUGAGACACGGCCCAGACUCCUACGGGAGGCAGCAGUGGGGAAUCUUGCACAAUGGGCGAAAGCCUGAUGCAGCGACGCCGCGUGCGGGAUGAAGGCCUUCGGGUUGUAAACCGCUUUCAGCAGGGACGAGGCGAAAGUGACGGUACCUGCAGAAGAAGCCCCGGCUAACUACGUGCCAGCAGCCGCGGUAAUACGUAGGGGGCAAGCGUUAUCCGGAUUCAUUGGGCGUAAAGCGCUCGUAGGCGGUCUGUUAGGUCGGGAGUUAAAUCCGGGGGCUCAACCCCCGUUCGCUCCCGAUACCGGCAGACUUGAGUUUGGUAGGGGAAGAUGGAAUUCCUAGUGUAGCGGUGGAAUGCGCAGAUAUUAGGAAGAACACCAGUGGCGAAGGCGGCCUUCUGGGCCAUAACUGACGCUGAGGAGCGAAAGCUAGGGGAGCAAACAGGAUUAGAUACCCUGGUAGUCCUAGCCGUAAACGAUGGACACUAGGUGUGGGGGAAUAUUUCUUCCGUGCCGCAGCUAACGCAUUAAGUGUCC
This 788-nucleotide ribosomal RNA is filed under the name uncultured Atopobium sp. RNAcentral's name for it is "bacterial SSU rRNA". It matches the Rfam family "Bacterial small subunit ribosomal RNA", at positions 65 to 869 of the family's 1533-position model. The record is from RNAcentral. Lineage: Bacteria; Bacillati; Actinomycetota; Coriobacteriia; Coriobacteriales; Atopobiaceae.